AGCAGCCGCGGUAAUUCCAGCUCCAAUAGCGUAUAUUAAAGUUGUUGCAGUUAAAAAGCUCGUAGUUGAAUUUCGGGAUCAGUACGCUGGUCGUGCCUUUGGUAUGCACUGGUGUCACUGGUUCCUCCCUUCUGAAGAACUGUCAUGCCAUUAAUUUGGUGUGGCGGGGAAUCAGGACUGUUACUUUGAAAAAAUUAGAGUGUUUAAAGCAGGCUCGCGCUUGAAUACAUUAGCAUGGAAUAAUGAAAUAGGACGUUUGAUUCUAUUUGUGGUUUCUAGGAUCGACAUAAUGAUUAAUAGGGAUAGUUGGGGGCAUUAGUAUUCAAUUGUCAGAGGUGAAAUUCUUGGAUUUAUUGAAGACUAACUACUGCGAAAGCAUUUGCCAAGGAUGUUUUCAUUAAUCAAGAACGAAAGUUAGGGGAUCGAAGACGAUCAGAUACCGUCGUAGUCUUAACCAUAAACUAUGCCGACUAGGGAUCGGAUGAUGUUAAUUUUUAA
RNAcentral lists this ribosomal RNA (498 nucleotides) under uncultured Glomeraceae. RNAcentral describes it as "SSU rRNA". It matches the Rfam family "Eukaryotic small subunit ribosomal RNA", at positions 569 to 1073 of the family's 1831-position model. The record is from RNAcentral. Lineage: Eukaryota; Fungi; Glomeromycota; Glomeromycetes; Glomerales; Glomeraceae.